GCUUUGGUGGCUCAGGGAUAAAAUUCUUGCCUUCUACGCAGAAGACCUGGGUUCACAUCCCGGCCAACGUA
RNAcentral lists this transfer RNA (71 nucleotides) under Loxodonta africana (African savanna elephant). It matches the Rfam family "tRNA". From Rfam's summary of the family: Transfer RNA (tRNA) molecules are approximately 80 nucleotides in length. Their secondary structure includes four short double-helical elements and three loops (D, anti-codon, and T loops). The record is from Rfam by way of RNAcentral. Lineage: Eukaryota; Metazoa; Chordata; Mammalia; Proboscidea; Elephantidae.